CGACGAGUACCACGUACGUAGUUUGACUCCGUCGCGUACGAGGACACGCUGGCGGCGUGCUUAAACACAUGCAAGUCGAACGGUAAGGCCCUUCGGGGUACACGAGUGGCGAACGGGUGAGUAACACGUGGGUGAUCUGCCCUGCACUUUGGGAUAAGCCUGGGAAACUGGGUCUAAUACCGAAUAUGUCUUCGGACCAAAGAUUUAUCGCCUUUAGAUGGGCCCGCGUUGGAUUAGCUAGUUGGUGGGGUAAAGGCCUACCAAGGCGACGAUCCAUAGCUGGUCUGAGAGGAUGAUCAGCCACACUGGGACUGAGACACGGCCCAGACUCCUACGGGAGGCAGCAGUGGGGGAAUAUUGGACAAUGGGCGAAAGCCUGAUCCAGCAAUGCCGCGUGAGUGAUGAAGGCCUUAGGGUUGUAAAGCUCUUUUACUCGGGACGAUAAUGACGGUACCGAGAGAAUAAGCCCCGGCUAACUCCGUG
Molecule: ribosomal RNA, 483 nt
Filed under: uncultured bacterium
Lineage: Bacteria
Description: bacterial SSU rRNA
Rfam family: Bacterial small subunit ribosomal RNA
Source: RNAcentral